This 461-nucleotide long non-coding RNA is filed under the name Serinus canaria (Common canary). RNAcentral describes it as "lncRNA (ENSSCAG00000004886.1)". Lineage: Eukaryota; Metazoa; Chordata; Aves; Passeriformes; Fringillidae. The record is from RNAcentral.
UUCGGGGAGUGAGAUAUCAUCUGGUCAAGUUUUAUACAUUUAACAUUCAUUUUAUAUGUGAGUAGAAUAACUAACUGCUUUUCCUUGCUCCUUUCUUUGUAGGAAGCAACAGAAGUUUUAACCAUCUUCCCAUGGCAUCUGACUUUUUUGAAGAGGAGGACUUUUCAACCACUUGAUGGAAGGGAAAUAAGAAGUUUGUUUCAAGACUCUUAUGUUGUUCAUCAGUGCUGUUAACAAACGUGGGGCUUGAGGAUACAUUUGCUGCUUCUCUGCAUUUUUGCUGAAGGAAGGACCUUGCUGUCUCCCAGCUCCUGUGGGCAUUAGGUUUCAUAAAUGUCUCUUGGGAUGAGGACAGCUCUGUAGAGCCUAAGUUUCAAAGGUAAUUUUAAAGGUAUUUUUUUUCUUUAUGCUUUUUCUUAAGUUUAUUUCAGUAUUUCAUUUAUUGCUUCAGUUAAAGUUCA